AACGCGAAGAACCUUACCAGGUCUUGACAUCUUCUGACAACCCUAGAGAUAGGGCUUUCCCUUUCGGGGGACAGAGUGACAGGUGGUGCAUGGUUGUCGUCAGCUCGUGUCGUGAGAUGUUGGGUUAAGUCCCGCAACGAGCGCAACCCUUGAUCUUAGUUGCCAGCAUUCAGUUGGGCACUCUAAGAUGACUGCCGGUGACAAACCGGAGGAAGGUGGGGAUGACGUCAAAUCAUCAUGCCCCUUAUGACCUGGGCUACACACGUGCUACAAUGGACGGUACAAAGGGCAGCGAGACCGCGAGGUUUAGCCAAUCCCAUAAAACCGUUCUCAGUUCGGAUUGUAGGCUGCAACUCGCCUACAUGAAGCUGGAAUCGCUAGUAAUCGCGGAUCAGCAUGCCGCGGUGAAUACGUUCCCGGGCCUUGUACACACCG
RNAcentral lists this ribosomal RNA (435 nucleotides) under Bacillus sp. T32. RNAcentral's name for it is "bacterial SSU rRNA". It matches the Rfam family "Bacterial small subunit ribosomal RNA", at positions 958 to 1392 of the family's 1533-position model. The record is from RNAcentral. Lineage: Bacteria; Bacillati; Bacillota; Bacilli; Caryophanales; Bacillaceae.